Molecule: ribosomal RNA, 1744 nt
Filed under: Salmonella enterica
Lineage: Bacteria; Pseudomonadati; Pseudomonadota; Gammaproteobacteria; Enterobacterales; Enterobacteriaceae
Description: partial 23S ribosomal RNA
Rfam family: Bacterial large subunit ribosomal RNA
Source: RNAcentral
UACGUUCGUUGGGUAGGGGAGCGUUCUGUAAGCCUGUGAAGGUGUGUCGUGAGGCAUGCUGGAGGUAUCAGAAGUGCGAAUGCUGACAUAAGUAACGAUAAAGCGGGUGAAAAGCCCGCUCGCCGGAAGACCAAGGGUUCCUGUCCAACGUUAAUCGGGGCAGGGUGAGUCGACCCCUAAGGCGAGGCCGAAAGGCGUAGUCGAUGGGAAACGGGUUAAUAUUCCCGUACUUGGUGUUACUGCGAAGGGGGGACGGAGAAGGCUAUGUUGGCCGGGCGACGGUUGUCCCGGUUUAAGCGUGUAGGUGUGUGUUCCAGGUAAAUCCGGUUCACUUUAACACUGAGGCGUGACGACGAGGCACUACGGUGCUGAAGCAACAAAUGCCCUGCUUCCAGGAAAAGCCUCUAAGCAUCAGGUAACAUCAAAUCGUACCCCAAACCGACACAGGUGGUCAGGUAGAGAAUACCAAGGCGCUUGAGAGAACUCGGGUGAAGGAACUAGGCAAAAUGGUGCCGUAACUUCGGGAGAAGGCACGCUGACACGUAGGUGAAGUGAUUUACUCAUGGAGCUGAAGUCAGUCGAAGAUACCAGCUGGCUGCAACUGUUUAUUAAAAACACAGCACUGUGCAAACACGAAAGUGGACGUAUACGGUGUGACGCCUGCCCGGUGCCGGAAGGUUAAUUGAUGGGGUCAGCGCAAGCGAAGCUCCUGAUCGAAGCCCCGGUAAACGGCGGCCGUAACUAUAACGGUCCUAAGGUAGCGAAAUUCCUUGUCGGGUAAGUUCCGACCUGCACGAAUGGCGUAAUGAUGGCCAGGCUGUCUCCACCCGAGACUCAGUGAAAUUGAACUCGCUGUGAAGAUGCAGUGUACCCGCGGCAAGACGGAAAGACCCCGUGAACCUUUACUAUAGCUUGACACUGAACAUUGAGCCUUGAUGUGUAGGAUAGGUGGGAGGCUUUGAAGCGUGGACGCCAGUCUGCAUGGAGCCGACCUUGAAAUACCACCCUUUAAUGUUUGAUGUUCUAACGUGGACCCGUGAUCCGGGUUGCGGACAGUGUCUGGUGGGUAGUUUGACUGGGGCGGUCUCCUCCUAAAGAGUAACGGAGGAGCACGAAGGUUGGCUAAUCCUGGUCGGACAUCAGGAGGUUAGUGCAAUGGCAUAAGCCAGCUUGACUGCGAGCGUGACGGCGCGAGCAGGUGCGAAAGCAGGUCAUAGUGAUCCGGUGGUUCUGAAUGGAAGGGCCAUCGCUCAACGGAUAAAAGGUACUCCGGGGAUAACAGGCUGAUACCGCCCAAGAGUUCAUAUCGACGGCGGUGUUUGGCACCUCGAUGUCGGCUCAUCACAUCCUGGGGCUGAAGUAGGUCCCAAGGGUAUGGCUGUUCGCCAUUUAAAGUGGUACGCGAGCUGGGUUUAGAACGUCGUGAGACAGUUCGGUCCCUAUCUGCCGUGGGCGCUGGAGAACUGAGGGGGGCUGCUCCUAGUACGAGAGGACCGGAGUGGACGCAUCACUGGUGUUCGGGUUGUCAUGCCAAUGGCACUGCCCGGUAGCUAAAUGCGGAAGAGAUAAGUGCUGAAAGCAUCUAAGCACGAAACUUGCCCCGAGAUGAGUUCUCCCUGAGACUUAGAGUCUCCUGAAGGAACGUUGAAGACGACGACGUUGAUAGGCCGGGUGUGUAAGCGCAGCGAUGCGUUGAGCUAACCGGUACUAAUGAACCGUGAGGCUUAACCUUACAACGCCGAAG